CCCUGCCAUUUGUACACACCGCCCGUCGCUCCUACCGAUUUCGAGUGGUCCGGUGAACCUUUUGGACUGUGCGGCCCUCGUGGCUGCGCGGAAAAUCAAGUAAACCACAUCACUUAGAGGAAGGAGAAGUCGUAACAAGGUUUCCGUAGGUGAA
RNAcentral lists this ribosomal RNA (154 nucleotides) under uncultured eukaryote. RNAcentral describes it as "partial small subunit ribosomal RNA". It matches the Rfam family "Eukaryotic small subunit ribosomal RNA", at positions 1651 to 1813 of the family's 1831-position model. The record is from RNAcentral.